Molecule: non-coding RNA, 487 nt
Organism: Manis javanica (Malayan pangolin)
Lineage: Eukaryota; Metazoa; Chordata; Mammalia; Pholidota; Manidae
Source: RefSeq, a predicted model, not a curated record
CCACAGAACAUCACCUGGGAGUGGCUUUCAAAUAAACUACCUGGCCCUUUGUUGCCUCUCUUUGCCUGCUUAUUUUGGCUAAAAUUUAUCUUAUAUUUGGUGCCGACCCCGGGAAGGAGUGUGACCGUGGGGCCCUGACCAGCCACUGGUGGCUCUGCCCCCUCCUUCCCCGACCUGGGACCUCAGCCUCCUCUCCGGUACAUGGACUAUUUCAGGUGCAGGAACCUCAGGAAUGUCUUAGGAACCUCAAGAAGAGAAGAAUUAACCCAAAUCUACAGGUACUGCAGGCACAACCUGAUGGUUCCUCCAACAGUGGCUAACCCAGAUGACCCGGGGCCCCACCAGCCAGAUGUUACAUCACCGUUAUGCACCUCUUCCCACUGAACCCCCUCCUUUGGCCUAAUACCAGCCUCAAACCCCCACGAUGCCCCUUGUCACCUGGAAGUAGCCAGAUCGAGUUGUUGCUCAUUAUGACCAAAAGGCUGGA